RNAcentral lists this microRNA precursor (96 nucleotides) under Oryza nivara. RNAcentral describes it as "pre miRNA MIR439". The record is from RNAcentral. Lineage: Eukaryota; Viridiplantae; Streptophyta; Magnoliopsida; Poales; Poaceae.
UUAUUACCUGUCGAACUGGGGCAGUUCGACAGGUACCCUAUCGAACUGGGGCAGUUCGACAGGUACCCUUUCGAACUGCCUCCGUUCGACAGGGUG